Molecule: ribosomal RNA, 424 nt
Filed under: Hydropsyche kozhantschikovi
Lineage: Eukaryota; Metazoa; Arthropoda; Insecta; Trichoptera; Hydropsychidae
Description: partial 28S ribosomal RNA
Source: RNAcentral
AUCAGGGGUAAACCUGUGGAACUCGAACGAGCGAACGGGGAGAUUCAUCGUUCUCCGUCGGGUCCGCGCAGGGRCGUUGACGUCGUGCACUCGUGUACGGCGCUCGUYUCGGUGCGAGGUUCGGCGGAGUGCGUGCACUCCUCCCUUAGUAAAACACCGCGACCCGUUGCGCGCGGGUCGAACGCGCCGUGCGAUCGUCCCAUUCUGAUUCGUCAGAGUGGAAUCGCGGCGUCGCGGCUCGCGUGCGACGGUAACGAACGAGGUUCGCGUCCGCCUUUGGCGUCCGCGUUGCGGCGGUCGUUUCCCYCGGCCGGUCUCGGCGCGCAAGCGUCGCGGCCGACGRGCGGAAACCGCGUCUGCUGCAUCGGCUCGGACGGGACGCGUCCCGGUCAGCGGUGGUUUGUUUCGGGCACUCACAGGACCC